GGGCAAUUGGGCACAUAUACUAAAAUUAGAACGAUACAGAGAAGAUUAGCAUGGCCCCUGUGCAAGGGUAACAUGCAAAUUCAUGAAGCGUUCUGUAUUUUU
This is a small nuclear RNA of Alligator mississippiensis (American alligator), 102 nucleotides long. NCBI's taxonomy places the organism in Eukaryota, Metazoa, Chordata, Crocodylia, Alligatoridae. The record is from Rfam.